RNAcentral lists this non-coding RNA (30 nucleotides) under Mus musculus (house mouse). The record is from RNAcentral. Lineage: Eukaryota; Metazoa; Chordata; Mammalia; Rodentia; Muridae.
UGGGCUAGUUUCGUUCUUUCAUAUGUUCUC